CUCAGCAUAGGGAGGUUCCCAGGCCAGGGGUCCAAUCGGACCUACAGCUGCGGGACUAUACCACAGCCACAGCAAUGCCAGAUCCGAGUCGCGUCUGCAACCUACACCACAGCUCACAGCAACAUCGGAUCCUUAACCCACUGAGUGAGGACGGGGAUCGAACCCGCAACCUCAUGGUUUCUUGUCCGAUUUGUUUCCACUGAGCCACCACAAGAACUCCCACCUUUUUUUUUUUUUUUUUGAUGGGUGCACCCGAGGGAUAUGGAAGCCCCCAGCCAGGGAUGGAACCCAAGCCUCAGCUACAACCUAUGCCAGAGGUGCGGCAAUGCUGGAUCCUUUCACUCACUGUGCCAGGCUGGGGACUGAACCAGCGCCUCUGCAGUAACUGGAGCUGCUACAGGUGGAUUCUGAACCCACUGCACCACAGUGGGAGUGCCCCGUUGCAUACAUUUCAAAAGUAAAAUGGACAGUUCAUGAACGUGCCUUACUGUCACUUGCCUUUUAAAACACAGAAGACCUGCCUUCCAGGCUUCAGGGGCUGGCGUCUCGUCGGGUGAGACUGCACCGAGCUGCCCUUCCCUCAGGGGGGCUCUGCCCCGUGACCACCACCCAGAGGGGAGCUGUCAGUCGGCUGGAUGGUCAUCUGGGGGAGGACAGGACAGACCACUGGCCACUCAAGGGAGCAGCAGGUGGGUCUGACCAAGAGACAGGUUUGCCUGAUGACACACGGAGACUCUGAGACCAGUUUAAGGUACGCCACGAGCACAAGGUCUAAAUCACAGAUGCUGGAGUUCCUGUCGUGGCACAGGGGUUAACGAAUCCGACUAGGAACCCUGAGGUUGCAGGUUCGAUCCCUGGCCUCGCUCAGUGGGUGAAGGAUCCAGCGUCACCGUGACCUGUGGUGUAGGUCCCAGAUGCAGCUCGGAUUCCGCGUUGCUGUGGCUCUGGCACAGGCCGGCGGCUAGAGCACUGAUUAGACCCCUAGCCUGGGAACCUCCAUAUGCCCUGGGCGGGUGAGGCAAGAGGCAACCACCGUGUUAUCGGGUGAAGGGGGCGGAGGCUUUAUCUGGGCUUGUUCUUGAGGCUGCCCCUUUGUGGGGGGGGGGGAGUCUGUACAUUUCAGUUUCCUGAUCUAAACUAACGGGUAACAGCUACCUCGCAAGGCAGUCCUGGGGAUUACGGCUGAUGUGCACGAAACAACCCUGGCCUGGCCACACAUCAUUUCCGAGGCUUUGCUGUUAGGGGGAGGGGAGGCAUCCUCUCCUGACAGCAAAACAUAACCGUUUCACACAGGAAACACCUCUGCUUGGACAAGUUAAGAAAGACUUCAUAGGUAAUCCUUUAAUUACAGACAUUCUAGUUUAAUCUCAAAAUGAGAAACCGGACCAUUAAAAUUGCAUGGGAAGAGCCUCAUGAGUCACAGUACACGGUAAAUACAGCACAAUACAAACUGUCAUCCGGGGUGUUCCUGCUGUGGCACAACAGGACUGGCAGCUCCUCUGGAGCACUGGGACACAGGUUCGAUCCCCAGCACAGCACAGUGGGUUAAGGAUCCCUCACUGGCCGCAGCUGUGGUGCAGGACGCAACUGUAAGUCGGAUCUGAUCCUUGGACCGGGAGCUCCAUAUGCCACCAGGCGGGCAAAAAAAAAAAAAAAAAAAAAGGAACAAAAAUUGUUAUCCAGAAUACAACUUCUUUUUCAGUUAAUUAAAAAAAAUAGAUGUGGGAGUUCCCACUGUGGCACAGUGGAAACAAAUCCGACUAGUAUCCAUGAAAAUGUGGGUUUGAUCCCUGGCCUCACUCAGUGGGUCGGGGAUCCGGCGUUGCUGUGGCUGUGGUGCAGCUCACAGCAACACCAGAUCCUUAACCCACUGAGCGAGGCCAGGGAUCGAACCUGCAACCUCAUGCUUACUAGUCAGAUUCAUUUCCUCUGCGCCACAACGGGGAACUCCACAUCAUGUGAUCAUUUUAAAUAGAGAGACAAAGUCUCACCUUAGAUAAAUCCCACCUUGUCCCCUUACCCCAGCCUCACUGCGCUUUAGUCACUGAUUCAACAAACACCUGUGGAGCAUUCACUCCAGCCCAGGACCAAUGCAGGCAUCUCAGGCCGGAGCCCUGGAGAGGCACCAUCAGCAUCCUGUCAGGCGGGUGGUCAGCCCAGGAGCCAGUGCGGAGGCCUGACCUCAAGUUCUAGGUCUGGGACUGAGCACAGAGCACCCAUCCUGUGUGAGCGAGGGGCACUCAAGAACAAAAAGGGCUGAGAGAGACCCAGUGCACUGACAGAACGAACGAAAACCAAGAAAAUAAACUCACUCUGCGUGAAGAUUCUGCAAACGACUCAAGUCCUUUAGUCACAAAGCAGGAUUCAGUGUGCUCACAACAGCCUCACAGCAGAGAGCGAGCCGAGGGUCAGGAACGGCUCACUUCCCUGUGACUCGAACAGUUUACUGCAUCUCACGCCACUUCAUCAACAAAUGAACAGCAUGUGGGCUUUACCUGGGGCGGGGGGCGGCAAAGACAAAACUUCUAAAAGCAUCGUUAUAGUGGCAGAUCAGACAAAACCUUUUGGUUCUGAGCAAACUCGAGACUAAAAGUGGCAAAAAGAUUUACAGGGAAGUCCCGCACAGAUCACCUCUGCGCCCUGCCUCUGGACUGGCUGUCCUCUCCUGAGAGGGAGCUGACUUGCCACGGACCUCCCUCAGCACCCAGCGCCCAACUAUUCAGCACUCACCCACAACGACUUCCCAGUGACAAGGUCGCUGUGCUGCAGAGCUGCUGCUAAGCUCAUCACUCUCCUUCAUUCGACCAGUGUUUACCGGGCACAGAGUGUGUGCCAGGAACUGUUCUUCGCACCAAACAGCCACCCUGUGGACCUUACCCCACAGUAAAGGAUUACGCGUAACAAACGUACUAAAGAGACUUCAGAAGAAUUAAGUGCUGUGGGAAAUUAAACAGGAAAGGGAAUCAGGAAACCGGAGGUGGCGAGCUGGAAUUCUAGGUAAGAUAGGGAAGGCCUGCCCUCACUGGGCCUAAGAGUGAGGAAGUGAGGGAUCCGGGCAGAUCCGAGGACAGAGCACAUGAGUCUGUUGAGAGAAUGGCCAAGAGGCCAUGGCGGUGGGGGUCAGAGGGUGGCAAGGGGCGUCCCUCCCCAACAAAGGUGCCCACCCAAGGCCACAGGCUCCAGAGCCGAGGUCCCUCAGCAAGGCUGUCUCCUCCACAUGCAGACCUAAGCGUCUGCUCACCACAGAUGCCCAGGUGGUCUGCUUUCGCCACGGCCAAGGGGAACAGGCGCAACACACACGACCCUCAGAUCCCAGGGCUAGUGGAGGCACCUGCCCCACAGCCAGAGCGGCUCCUACAGCCCUUGGUUUGGCCACAGGCCCCCAGAGGUGCCCGGGGUCCCAGAGUCCUGACAGGUCAAAGGAGAGCUGCUGGCUCUCAGUUAUAAAGUUUCCCAAAGCCCUUAAGUCCUGCCUCAUAGCGUCACCUCUCAUUUGACAGAUGACACGAUGCUGACACUCACGACAACACUGAACAAGAGAGGAGCAAGAGAAUAAACAUAAAAUCUCAGAGCUUUGCCUUUAGGCAACCAAGUCACAGACGGGCCAGUACACUUGUUUUGUCAUUAAGAUAGUUUGUAAACAGACAGAGGUGUCCAGCACGGCACCCAUUAGGCUACGACCGGCUGGUUAAAAUGUCUCCUUAUCAAACCUCAACACGAAAAUCAAAAUAAAACUGAAACUUUUGCUUCCCUUCCUGUGUGGCACAACCAAAUGCACUCCGAUAAAUCGUCUCAGGCACAUGAAAAAGGGGCUCCUUAAUCCAGCCUCUCAACACGAACAAGUUAGAACCUGAAGGGAAGAGCUCCCGACACUGUCUCCGCAAGACAAUACACAGCGAUGCUCCAAAUAAUGUCCUUGCGACGCAGAGAAAACACUUCUUUCUUACCAGGCCGACGAUUCACACCCCCGAGAUUAAUUUACAGCGCGUCAAGGAACAAAGCUCACUUCGCCGAGCUCCAAGCGUGACCCGGGGACAGGUUACGUGGCUGCUGCAUCCGGCGGCUCUGCCCCCCGCGGCCCC
RNAcentral lists this long non-coding RNA (4082 nucleotides) under Sus scrofa (pig). Its description in RNAcentral is "lncRNA (ENSSSCG00045006672.1)". The record is from RNAcentral. Lineage: Eukaryota; Metazoa; Chordata; Mammalia; Artiodactyla; Suidae.